UACGUAGGUGGCGAGCGUUAUCCGGAUUUACUGGGUGUAAAGGGCGUGUAGGCGGACCGGCAAGUCGGGUGUGAAAUCCCCGGGCUUAACUCGGGUAUGUCAUCCGAAACUGCAGGUCUUGAGUACUGGAGAGGAUAGUGGAAUUCCUAGUGUAGCGGUAAAAUGCGUAGAUAUUAGGAGGAACACCAGUGGCGAAGGCGGCUAUCUGGCCAGUAACUGACGCUGAGGCGCGAAAGCGUGGGGAGCAAACAGGAUUAGAUACC
This 263-nucleotide ribosomal RNA is filed under the name uncultured bacterium. RNAcentral's name for it is "partial 16S ribosomal RNA". It matches the Rfam family "Bacterial small subunit ribosomal RNA", at positions 524 to 786 of the family's 1533-position model. The record is from RNAcentral.